AUCUAACAGGUGCCACACACAGUGGCAGGUUCUGAUGGCUCAAAAGUGAAUAGGGGCCAGGUGACAUAGAGGCAAUGACAUUGUUCAGGCUUGAACCCUGACUGUUUCUGCCUCUUCUUAGCUCUGUGUGGCCCCUGAGAGUCUUAACCGCAUUUCCUCAUCUGUAAAUGGCAGUCACAGCUCCCCGCCUGUGAGGUCACUGGAAAGACCACCCCCAGGUGAGCUGGAGACCCUGGGGCACGAGCUCAGUCACUCUUGGGGAGCAGGUGCCAUCGUUGUCUCAAUUUUUCAAAUGAAUUUUUCAGAGGCACAGAGAUGUUAAGCAACUACCCUGAGGUCACACAGUGAGUGUGACAGGUGGAGCCCAAGCUGGGCCCCGGCUGCCUAUGCCCGGGUCCCUUGUACCUCACACCUCUCACAAGGGGCCUGCUCAGCGUAGCCCAGUUCCCUUCACAUGAUUCGGGGGCAUGAGCGCUCCGUGCUCCCCAGAAGCCUCAGACCCAUUCAGCCUCCUUUUCUUAGAGGGCAAGUGGGGCCGGUGGUUUUCCACUGUUAUUUUUAGCUCUGCCCCCACUGUAUUGUUUCGGAUCCAGAGAACGGAGCCUCCGAGGUCCUGCGAGUGUCCAGCCAGUGUCCGGGGGGUAUAACCUUAGCGGGCUUGCAUAGGAGCAGUGAUGACAAGGCUACCGGAACCUGAGCUCCCCGACCCCCACCCCACCCCCACGGAGACUCGGAUCCACUGCGAGUGACUCAACAGAAGCGGCCCUGCCCCCAUCCCGUCCAACUGGCGUCCACAGGUGGGGAGAGGACAGAGCUCCCAGAAGCCGGAUGAGAGGAGUUGCUCCGGGUCACGAGCUUGGCAUUUCCCAGCUCCACCUCCGUGUCCACUCACCUCCAAGGUCAGCCUCUGCAGAGCCACACAACCUGUGGGAGGGACCCCUCCAAGCCCCAGGGGGUUGGCAAGGAGGACUGGGAUGGGACAGCAGCCACCGUGUGGUGCAGCAGUGAAUCCUACGGCCCCCACCUGCCAGGGAGCGAGUCUGGGCUCUGCCGGUGUGAUGCUGGGUGAGAAAACAGGCCCAGAGAAGGUGGGUCCCUGCCCAGGCUCACACAGCUACGGAGCAGUAGAAGCUGGGAUUUGAAACUGAGCCCCAAGACAGAUUCGUGUUGACAGAUGUAUAAACUGAAUACUGACCCUCCAGAGAGAUCCACGCCCUAAUCCCGGGAACCCCUGUGAAUGUCACCUCCCGAUGGCAAAGGGAUUCUGCAGAUGGGAAGAAGUGAAGGAUCUUGAGAUGGGAACAUUAUCCCCGAUUAUCCAGCUAUAAGUCCCGGGAUCUUCCAGCUCAACCAGCCCAUUUUACCGACGACGUGGAGCCUGAGGCCAGAGUUAGGGGUCAACUUGCCCCGUCCCACCGAGAUGAGUGGCGGGAGGGUGCUGUCUCCUGGCACGUCCUGGGGGUCCUUGCUCUGCUCUUCUGGACUCCAGCCCUGGGCAGCCUGGGCGAAAUCGUCUAGUCCAAACCCAUUUUCCGAGUGAGGAAACUGAGGCCUGGAGUUGUCCGAGAGUUGCACUCGAGUCCCUAAGUGACAGGGGAUGUGCAGGCCCUGAAUCCCCAGGGAGUCCUCUCGGCAAGGCCCUCCCCUCCCCAUCUGGAGCGCCGCUCCUCCCCGUGUAUCCCCAGCAGACAGGGGCCAGCGGGGUCUGGGAAAACCACAUCAGGAGCGGCCCAGCUGUGGUGCAGGAAUUCGAGAGCAGCUCCUUAGUGGCCUCCAGCCUGGGAAAGCUCUGAGGCCUUCCUGUCCCCGCCCGCCUUGCCGCUUAGGGCCAGCCCUGUCCCCAAGGCUGUGAGAAGUCGCCUGGAGGCAGUGUCCAGUGGGGUGGAGGAAAGAGCGGCCUAGAAUGGAGGGACUUGAUCCCCGAUCCUAAGCCAGUUAGUGACAUUAUCCUGGAUUAUCCUAAACCGAGCUCAGGGCCCUGGGCUUGUCUAGGGGAGCAUAGGUCUCCCUGCCCCCGGCAUGUGGGGGUUCCAGUGGUGCCUUAACACCCAGCGACACAGGCCCACAGCCAAGAAGGCACAGUUCUUACAUAAAGCAUUCAUACCCACUGGCACCCUCAGACCUCACAACAGCCCUGUAACGGCGAGGCUGCUGCUGUCCCAUUUUACAGAUGGAGAAACUGAGGCUCGGAGAGAGAAAGGGACUCUCCCCAAGUCAAGGUCCUGUGGUGGCAGCACUGGGACUCUGCUAACUCCGUGAGCUCUCGCGAUGACCCUGGACUCGUCUCUGGCAAUUCGGUCCCAGGCUUGCUGUGGGGCCUUGAGUAAUCUCCCUCUCUGAGCCUCGACUCUCCUCUGUGAACUAGGACAUAAUAAUAGUAUCCACCUCACUGGGGCGCCUGCAGAAUCAGGGAGUGCGUGAGCCCCGCGCCUGGCACGCGGUGAGCGCUCCAUCUUCGCUCACCCUCAUCACCAUCACACUACCCGAUUGGAUAACCGCAAAUACUACUGCUGGGGGAAGACGCCAAUAAACACACAGGUCCUGCGGGAGGUGAAGGAGUGACCACGAGAGCAAGGAGGGGGCUGCCUGGCAUAUUCAAGCAACACUGAAGAGGCCAGUGUGGUCCUAGGGGGUUAGAGACAGGGCAGUGGCAGGAGGAGAAACCAGAGAGGUGGGGGGUGGGGCAGAGUCACAGACCACGGUGGCCAUUGGGUGGACGUCAGCUUUCCUUGAGCCAAGUGGGGAGCCAUCGCAAGGUGUCCUCAUUGUCCACUAAACGCUCAAAGCCUGCAAUGGGCCCUUAGACCCUGGGUCACUGUCUGAGGAGUGGAAUGGCCACCCGCUAGCUAACCACCCUCCUCCGCCCAGGACCCGCCCACGGCCCCUCCCCCUCCCUGCGAUGCUCCAGAACCCUGAGAAUCAGGUGGUCCUAAAGUGUCAGCGCUCAGAGGGAGCUUGGAGGCCAUUUGGCUCCAAUUACAGAUGAAGAAAGGAGGCUGGGACGCGGAGGGGAAGGGGCUUGUCCGGGGCCUCUCAGCACAUCCGCGGCUGUGCCAGCUGUGACGCCCAAGGCUCCUGCCUCCUGGAGCAGGGCCCCUCCCGCUGCAGAGCCCUCGGUGAACGGGACGUUUUGUUCUUCUGGCCCAGAUCCAAGGAGUCUCCAGGGACACACUCUGGUUUGCCUUUGCCAAAGGCCUCGCCAGCUAAGGGUCCCUUCUAGGCUGCCAUCUCUGGCAGAAGCUGCGCCCUCCUGGGGCCAGCCUCCCGCCUGCACCGGCAUUGAGGAGUCCGUGUGCAUGUGAGGAUGGGGACCCUGUGCAGCUCCUCAUCCCAGUCACCCUGCUCCCAGGGCUUCUAUUCCAAGCACAGACAUCGAAACACAAUAAGCAGCCACUCACUGCCCACUUCUGGGGUCACCCUGUUGGAGCAAUAAGCUCCUGACCUCUCUCCCCACCCCGUGGAUGUUCAUGGUGGUUCUGUAGCUGCCACUGCCAGCUCCUCAGCUGCAGUUCAAGGGGAGGGAACACCAGCCAUUCAUCCACUCUCUGAUCUUCCAUUCAUUCAUCUCUCUAUUUUCUUGCCCAUUGGUCCGUGCAUUCAUCCAUACACCCACCUAUCCAAUUGCCCCACCCACAUAUCUAGCCUUCCAUCCAUCCAUCCAUCCAUCCAUCCAUCUAUCCAUCCACUGAUCUGAACAGCCACCAGUCUGUCUGAUUGUUACUGGUCCAUCAUCUCAUCCAUCCGACCCAUCCAUCCAUCCAUCCAUCUAUCCAUCCAUUCAUCCAUCCUAUGCUCUUUCUCUUACACCUAUUGUUUGCCCAAAAACCUCUCUCUCUGCCUGUGCGUUGGUCUACAUAUCCAUCAUCCACCUAUCCCCUUACCAACUUCCCUGCCCUUCCGUCCAUUCCCUCACCUUCCUCCCAUCCAUCCAUCUCCCCACUCCACUCCCACUGCUCUGCCAACCAACCUGUCAGCCUGUCUCUUGGUCCAUCUACCCCUUCAUGCAACGUUCAUGGAGGCAUAUCCUGUGGGACUCAGCGUUGUAACUAUAGCACCUACAGUAAUAGCUGCCACUUACUGGACGCUUGUUUUAUGCCAGACACUCUACCUACGUUCUCACUUAAUCCUCACAACAACCUGUCGUCGUUUGACAGAUGAGGGAACAUGCUGGAUGGCCUCAAUUAGACAACUGUCAAAUUGUUUCAUUCCAAGAGCAGCUUUACAAGAUAGAUGCUGUCAUCAUUUUGCAGAUGUGGAAACUGGCCAUGCAAUUUGCCUGAAGUCACAGCAGUAACGAAGGACAGGAUUUGGACCUAAGUGUUCUGACUCCGAGUUCCGUCCUCCUUCCUUCUGACCACCGCCGCCUGAGACCCGAUGGCCAGACCUUGCUGCCCCGAGCCACGCAGGACUGGGAGAUGAGCUGGGCCAGGUGAACCUCUGAGAUCCAGCCUUGGACAUGGCUUGGCCCAGUGUGAACCCGCGGAUGACCCCAUUUCACUGGCUUGCUCCACAAAUAUCCUUCACUGAGUGUGUACCGCCUCAGGGCACAGCCCCGGGGACUCCGUUCCUCACCUCUGCUUCAGGGCAGGCAACCCAGCCAGGGGGAAGGGUGCAGCCCCGCAAGAAGAGGAGAGUCACGUCUGCUGCCAGCUUGCUGUGAGAUCUCGACAUUUCCCUCAGUUUUCUCAUCUGCCCAACGGGCUAGCAGCACCCGCCUCGGAGGAGCAAGUGAAAUAUGUGAUGUGAACACGCUCACCACGCCCUCUCCUCUCCCUUGCUUCUGUGCAAUAACAGGGCUGGGCUCGUGCAGAGGUCCCAAGGCGGGUUCGUGGCUGGACUUCAGGAGCAGGAGCCCCCGAAACCACAGGCGGUGUUUGUGUGUGCACGUGCAGUCUUCACCAAGAAGGCCUGUGACUUUCAUUAGAUUCUCAAAAGGCCCAUGACUUAGUUGCUAAUGAUAAUAAUCACUAAUUGAGUGCGGACUUCGAGCCAGCACCUGUAAGUGCUCGGUGCUUAGUACACCUUACUUCAUUUAAUUCUUAGUAGACGGUAGAUGGAAUAGUGAUUGAGCUCAGGAACUCUAGAGCCUCAUUGUCUGGGAUCAAAUCCUGGCUCCAUUGCUUCCCAGCUGUGUGGCCUUGGACAAUGACCUAACCACUCGGUGCCUCAGUUUCCUCAGAUCUAAAUUAGAUGACAAAGCUAUUUGCUUCAUAGGGUUGUUUUGAGGAGUAAAUACAGGAACAGAGCUUAGAACCAUACCUGUCCCUAAGCAAGAGCUCAGUAAAUACUGUCUUAAAGUAGAUGAGGAAAUGGAGGCUCAGAGAGGUCAAGGAACUUGUCUACAGUCAACCAGCUGGGAAAGAGCCCAGAUUCUAAGCCUGGUGGUCUGACACUGGAGCCCUUGCAUUUAAUGGAUAUGCUCACUGUGUGUUCUUGAAAAGACCCUGACUUCAUCCCACAUGCACCCUAAUUCUUACAUUCAAGGCUCUAGAUUUUACUGACAAGGGAGAGGUUCUGGCCACACUGGUCUCCAAGGUUCCCUGACAUUCUGAUACUUGAGACUUCCACUGUGCGAGUCCCCCCAGCAGGCUGACAGGCCUCCAGAGGAGCUGCAGAGAAAGAGCGAGAGAGCACGUGUGGGCACCUGAACGUGUGCACAUCCCCUUCCCGUGCCCCCCCCCCCCCCAGCCUCCACAGGGUGCAGCUCCCAGGCCUCCCUGCACAGCCUCCCAGGAGAGGCGCCCCCGCAGACUCCGCUCCCUCCCGGCGCCAUGUGACACUGGCGGGUGGUGUGGGAGGGAGGAGGAGAUGAGCUCGUCACUGGCUGACAGCUCUCCCUCUGGGGCAGGGAGCUCCCUGGCUGCAACCCUACCCCAGAUGGCUUUUAACAGAAGAGGAAACAGAGAAGUGCUUUGCUGGGCCACUUCCUGGCUUAGCAGGACCUGGGCAAGCAUCACUUCUCAGGGCCUCGUUCUGCUCAUUCAUAAAAUAAGGACAAUUGCUCCUAUGCCACUGGGCUGUGGCGGACACGACAGGAGAAAAGGCAUGUGUGUAAAAUACCCAGCCUCACAGACUCCACACUCUCAGGUCCUCUCCAUCCUGUUCCCCUCUGGAGGAAGAAGGGGACUCCUGGUCUGAGACCAGAAGUGGCAUCCUUUAGCAUCUUGUCUCAGGGACGGGAGUUCAGCUGAGGCAAUGGCUGGAGACCUGGUGUGGGCUGGGUUGGCCUGUGCAGGUGACGAAGCCACAGGUACUUGAUAUCAGCAAAAUGGCCCAGCACAACUCGAUCUGUGGCCUCCUGGAGCUGAGCGAAUGAGCUCCCUUCUCCAACAGACCUCAGGCUCCACUUUGUUCAACUGAGUCUCCAAGAACUCCACCAGCCGUACCAUCCUGUGGGCUGGGUGGCUAUCUCAAAGCGCACACGGCCAGAGGGUGGCAGUGGGGGAGCCUUCUCCCUACUCUGCAUAUUUGCUUUCCAACAAAUACCUUUUAGAGCACCGACUACAUGCUAGGUGCCAGGUUCUAGGUGCUGGGGGUACGGCAAUGAACAUGAGACUGUAGGAAGCUGAUAUUCCGGCGCGGACAGUCAGACUGCACACGGCAGGUAGUGAGGAGUUUGUGCUUAGUGCCGUUGAGUCGAUUCCAACUCCUAGCGACCCCGUGUAGAGCAGAGCAGAGCAGACGCCUGCCCAUCUUUUUGCGCCAUCCUCUCAUCCUCUGGCACUGUUUCAGAUGAUGCUCUGCUGCUAUUCACAGCGUUAUCAUGGCCAAUUUUUUCAGAAGUGGGUGGCCGGGUCCUUCUUCCCAGUCUGUCUUAGUCUGGAAGCUCCGCCGAAACCUGUCCAUCACGGGUGACCCUGCUGGUAUCUGAAAUACCAGUGACAUAGCUUUCAGCAUCACAGCAACAUGCAGCUGCCACAGUAUGACACCCAACAGGCGGGUGAUGUGGUUCCCUGACCAGGAAACGAACCCGGGCCCCGGCAGUGAGAGCACUGGCUCUUAACCACCAGACACCAGGGCUGGCUAGUGAUAAGCACUGUGAAGGACCACAAAGCAGACGGAGGAGACGUGGAGGGACCGGGUGCUCAUUAGGCCGAGGGUCAGAGAAGGCCUCCUCCAUGGGAGACAUCUGAGCAGGACCAGAGGAGCCAGGUGGGGGCCACGUGAGGAUCUGGGGCAAGAGCAUUCUGGGCAGAGGUCAACUGCAAGGCGCUGAGUCUCCAACUGCCUGUCAGGAUUGAGAAUCGUCAAGAAGUCCCCGGGGCUGUGCGCAGUGAGCCGGGCGGUGGGAGGACGCGCAUGGGGGGAGAGUGGAAAAGGUGGGGGCAGGGGAGGUGAUAAGGAAUUUGGCUUGGGGUCCUGAGCUUGAAGGGCUGGUGAGGAGUCUGCAGGCCCAGCCUUGCCUGCCCAGGCUGGGGAGAGGGGACACAUUUUGUGGGGUCAGUCCUCUGAGACCCCAGAUCCCCACAGUAAGCCACUUGGACCUAGCGCCUGCACAAGAACACGCUCUUGAAAUUCUGGGUUCAGCCUAAGAGCCUUCAAGCACCAGCGGCUCAUCUGGGCCAGCCUCCUUUGCUCACAUAAGCCCACAUGGCGGAUAAAGAAAUUGAGGCUCAGAGGGGAGAAAUGACCUCCCCGGGGACACCCAGCCCCCGAGUGCGUCUGCAUCCUGAGAUGCGCUCUUCCCACUUUGGCAUACUGCAGCCCUCUUUCAAAAUGAUGUUUGUGAACAUUAGUCUCAGUAAAGACAGCUAAAAAGCAUGGGUUGGAGAUGUUUUUAGCUGCCUGUAAGCCAGAUAAAAGGUUCUGUUGUUGCAAAAAUGCUCUUCUUGUGUAUGCUAUAAGCAUCCAUCAAUUUCCGAAAUUAUCCAGCCUCCCUAACGAGAAAUGACGGGCGCUUUCUGAAUUUGAGAUGAAGAGGGUUUUUUUUGGUUGUUGGUGGUGGUUUACUCAUAUCAGACUCUUUUCCUGCCCUGAGUGUAAUAUCCUAAGUUUCAGGGAGGCAGAGGCUGUUUUUUUUU
This 8021-nucleotide long non-coding RNA is filed under the name Equus asinus (donkey). RNAcentral's name for it is "lncRNA (ENSEASG00005026732.1)". Lineage: Eukaryota; Metazoa; Chordata; Mammalia; Perissodactyla; Equidae. The record is from RNAcentral.